RNAcentral lists this ribosomal RNA (406 nucleotides) under uncultured bacterium. Its description in RNAcentral is "partial 16S ribosomal RNA". It matches the Rfam family "Bacterial small subunit ribosomal RNA", at positions 29 to 526 of the family's 1533-position model. The record is from RNAcentral.
AUUGAACGCUGGCGGCAGGCCUAACACAUGCAAGUCGAACGAGUGGCGGACGGGUGAGUAAUGUCUGGGAAACUGCCCGAUGGAGGGGGAUAACUACUGGAAACGGUAGCUAAUACCGCAUACCAUCGGAUGUGCCCAGAUGGGAUUAGCUAGUAGGUGGGGUAAAGGAUCACCUAGGCGACGAUCCCUAGCUGGUCUGAGAGGAGGACCAGCCACACAGGAACUGAGAUACGGUCCAGACCAAUACGGGAGGCAGCAGUGGGGAAAAUUGCACAAUGGGCGGAAGCCUGAUGCAGCCCUGCCGCGUGUAUGAAGAAGGCCUUCGGGUUGGAAAGUACUUUCAGCGGGGAGGCGUUACCCGAAGAAGAAGCACCGGCUAACUCCGUGCCAGCAGCCGCGGUAAUAC